RNAcentral lists this ribosomal RNA (517 nucleotides) under uncultured bacterium. Its description in RNAcentral is "partial 16S ribosomal RNA". It matches the Rfam family "Bacterial small subunit ribosomal RNA", at positions 29 to 523 of the family's 1533-position model. The record is from RNAcentral.
AACGAACGCUGGCGGCGUGCCUAACACAUGCAAGUCGAGCGCGAAUAGGUAGCAAUACCUUAGUAGAGCGGCGCACGGGUGAGUAACACGUGGGUAAUUUGCCUCAUAGUUCGGGAUAACCUGCCGAAAGGCUGGCUAAUACCGGGUAAGGCCUUAGGGACUUCGGUUUUUAAGGAGAAAGGUGGCCACUGCAAGCAAGCUACCGCUAUGAGAUAAGCCCGCGGCCCAUCAGCUCGUUGGCGGGGUAACGGCCCACCAAGGCAACGACGGGUAGCUGGUCUGAGAGGACGAACAGCCACACUGGAACCGAGACACGGUCCAGACUCCUACGGGAGGCAGCAGUGGGGAAUUUUGCGCAAUGGGGGAAACCCUGACGCAGCAACGCCGCGUGUGUGAUGAAGGUCUUUGGAUUGUAAAGCACUUUCGACUGGGACGAAUGGCUGAAGCCCAACACGCUUCAGUUUGACGGUACCAGGAGAAGAAGCACCGGCUAACUCUGUGCCAGCCGCCGCAGUAA